Molecule: long non-coding RNA, 706 nt
Organism: Gadus morhua (Atlantic cod)
Lineage: Eukaryota; Metazoa; Chordata; Actinopteri; Gadiformes; Gadidae
Exons: 4
Source: RefSeq, a predicted model, not a curated record
GGGUUAAGGGGUAGGGCGAAGACAAAAGGCUACGUAGCCCUUGAAACGAAGCUAUCCAAGGACCACACUUCAAAGGGAGGGCUUCGAGGAAAAUCCGGCCGAAAAUGCAUUUUUACUAGUUGUUAUCAUUUGGACUCAUGAUGUAAAGUUGACUGUAGCCUAUAUUCAGCUCGAAGUCAUACACGGACAAUGCGAUCUCUGAGCUCGAUAUAAAACAUGACAUAACGGUAAAUAACCGUUGAACUACAAGAUUUUGGCGCUCUCUAGUGGCCAACCGAAAUCGCCAAAUAAACAAACAGCAGCGAUGGCUCAAGCGAAGGACACGCACAAAUGGACACCACAUGCACCAGACGGCUCAUUAAUUUCAGGGCGACCAGGGACAAUGAGUUCCUAAAAUCGAAAAUGAUCGCCAGAAAACAGUGGGAGCUUUUUCUGGAAGAAAUGGGGGUGGAGGGGAAAGUGACCAGGCAACAGGCUUCUAAGAAGUGGGAGAACCUAAAAACGAAGUACAAGACCCGCUCUAUCACAGAACGCACCUUGGAUUGGCGGUAAUUAAAGCGCUGCUGCACCCGCCCAAUCACCGGCUCUUUAUAGGGAGUCAACAGACAUACGGGCGUCUGGAGGCAGGGGUACCCACCAUCACAUAAAAGCAUGUAACUCGGCGGUGGAUACCUGGCAGUCAAAUAAAAAGAACUGUUUUUCAUUA